AAGUCCUACAACAAUGUCAUCAUGUCUCAGAGAAUCCAAUGUUCCUGAGGGUUUUGAAGUCCUACAACAAUGUCAUCAUGUCUCAGAGAAUCCAAUGAUUCCUGAGGGUUUUCAAGUGCUACAAAAAUCUCAUCAUGUCUCAGAGAAUCCAAUGAUUCCUGAGGGUUUUCAAGUGCUACAAAAAUCUCAUCAUGUCUCAGAGAAUCCAAUGAUUCCUGAGGGUUUUCAAGUGCUACAAAAAUCUCAUCAUGUCUCAGAGAAUCCAAUGAUUCCUGAGGGUUUUCAAGUGCUACAAAAAUCUCAUCAUGUCUCAGAGAAUCCAAUGAUUCCUGAGGGUUUUCAAGUGCUACAAAAAUCUCAUCAUGUCUCAGAGAAUCCAAUGAUUCCUGAGGGUUUUCAAGUGCUACAAAAAUCUCAUCAUGUCUCAGAGAAUCCAAUGAUUCCUGAGGGUUUUCAAGUGCUACAAAAAUCUCAUCAUGUCUCAGAGAAUCCAAUGAUUCCUGAGGGUUUUCAAGUGCUACAAAAAUCUCAUCAUGUCUCAGAGAAUCCAAUGAUUCCUGAGGGUUUUCAAGUGCUACAAAAAUCUCAUCAUGUCUCAGAGAAUCCAAUGAUUCCUGAGGGUUUUCAAGUGCUACAAAAAUCUCAUCAUGUCUCAGAGAAUCCAAUGAUUCCUGAGGGUUUUCAAGUGCUACAAAAAUCUCAUCAUGUCUCAGAGAAUCCAAUGAUUCCUGAGGGUUUUGAAGUCCUACAACAAUCUUAUGUCUCAGAGAAUCCAAUGA
Antechinus flavipes (yellow-footed antechinus) is the source of this 779-nucleotide long non-coding RNA. RefSeq lists it as uncharacterized. The record is from RefSeq and is a predicted model, not a curated record. The transcript has 4 exons. Lineage: Eukaryota; Metazoa; Chordata; Mammalia; Dasyuromorphia; Dasyuridae.